RNAcentral lists this ribosomal RNA (1266 nucleotides) under metagenome. RNAcentral describes it as "bacterial SSU rRNA". It matches the Rfam family "Bacterial small subunit ribosomal RNA", at positions 132 to 1384 of the family's 1533-position model. The record is from RNAcentral.
UUUAGUGAGGAAUACCCUCGAGAAAUCGAGGUUAAUACUGCAUACGUCCCUACGGGGAGAAAGGCCGCUUUUAUGCGGUCGCUGAAGGAUGAGCUUGCGUACUAUUAGUUAGUUGGUAGGGUAAAGGCCUACCAAGACUAUGAUGGUUAACCGGCCUGAGAGGGUGUACGGUCACAUUGGAACUGAGACACGGUCCAGACUCCUACGGGAGGCAGCAGUGAGGAAUAUUGCACAAUGGGCGAAAGCCUGAUGCAGCGACGCCGCGUGGAGGAUGAAGGUUUUCGGAUCGUAAACUCCUGUUAAGUGGAAAGAAAAUGCGUCUUCUAAUAAAAGAUGUAUAUGACGGUACCACUAGAGAAAGCACCGGCUAACUUCGUGCCAGCAGCCGCGGUAAUACGAGGGGUGCAAGCGUUAUUCGGAAUAACUGGGCGUAAAGGGUGUGUAGACGGUAUAUUAAGCUUGCUGUUAAACCCUCCGGCUCAACCGGAGAUCAGCAGUGAGAACUGAUAAACUAGAGUAUGGAAGAGAGAAGUGGAAUUCCCGGAGUAGCGGUAAAAUGCGUAGAUCUCGGGAGGAACACCGAUGGCGAAGGCAGCUUCUUGGUCCAUUACUGACGUUGAGACACGAAAGCGUGGGGAGCAAACAGGAUUAGAUACCCUGGUAGUCCACGCCGUAAACGAUGAUCACUGGAUGUCGGUUCGACUCUGUCGGAUCGGUAUCGAAGCUAACGCGUUAAGUGAUCCGCCUGGGGAGUACGGUCGCAAGAUUAAAACUCAAAGGAAUUGACGGGGGUCCGCACAAGCGGUGGAACAUGUGGUUUAAUUCGUCGCUACACGAGGAACCUUACCUGGGCUUGACAUGCAUUUGACCGCUGUGGAAACACAGUUUUUUUAGGCUUCGGUUUAGACAGAUGCACAGGUGCUGCAUGGCUGUCGUCAGCUCGUGUCGUGAGAUGUUGGGUUAAGUCCUCUAACGAGCGCAACCCCUGUUAUCAGUUGCGACUGCCUUCGGGUAAAGCACUCUGAUAAGACUGCCUGGGAAACCAGGAGGAAGGUGGGGAUGACGUCAAGUCAUCAUGGUCCUUAUGUCCAGGGCUACACACGUGUUACAAUGGCCGGUACAAAGGGUUGCAAGACCGUAAGGUGGAGCUAAUCCCAUAAAGCCGGUCUAAGUUCGGAUUGAGGUCUGCAACUCGACCUCAUGAAGUUGAAAUCGCUAGUAAUCGCAUAUCAGUAACGGUGCGGUGAAUGCGUUCUCGGACCUUGU